Molecule: transfer RNA, 85 nt
Filed under: Felis catus (domestic cat)
Lineage: Eukaryota; Metazoa; Chordata; Mammalia; Carnivora; Felidae
Rfam family: tRNA
About the family: Transfer RNA (tRNA) molecules are approximately 80 nucleotides in length. Their secondary structure includes four short double-helical elements and three loops (D, anti-codon, and T loops). Further hydrogen bonds mediate the characteristic L-shaped molecular structure. tRNAs have two regions of fundamental functional importance: the anti-codon, which is responsible for specific mRNA codon recognition, and the 3' end, to which the tRNAs corresponding amino acid is attached (by aminoacyl-tRNA synthetases). tRNAs cope with the degeneracy of the genetic code in two manners: having more than one tRNA (with a specific anti-codon) for a particular amino acid; and 'wobble' base-pairing, i.e. permitting non-standard base-pairing at the 3rd anti-codon position.
Source: Rfam by way of RNAcentral
GCCUGUGUGGCUCAGUCAGUUGAAUGCCUGACUUCAACUCAGGUCAUGAUCUCACAGUUUGUGGGUUCCAAUCCCACGUCGGGCU